RNAcentral lists this ribosomal RNA (878 nucleotides) under Conoideocrella luteorostrata. RNAcentral describes it as "LSU rRNA". It matches the Rfam family "Eukaryotic large subunit ribosomal RNA", at positions 41 to 949 of the family's 3401-position model. The record is from RNAcentral. Lineage: Eukaryota; Fungi; Ascomycota; Sordariomycetes; Hypocreales; Clavicipitaceae.
UAUCAAUAAGCGGAGGAAAAGAAACCAACAGGGAUUGCCCCAGUAACGGCGAGUGAAGCGGCAACAGCUCAAAUUUGAAAUCUGGCCCCCAGGGCCCGAGUUGUAAUUUGCAGAGGAUGCUUUUGGCGAGGUGCCUUCCGAGUUCCCUGGAACGGGACGCCAUAGAGGGUGAGAGCCCCGUCUGGUUGGAUACCGAGCCUCUGUAAAGCUCCUUCGACGAGUCGAGUAGUUUGGGAAUGCUGCUCUAAAUGGGAGGUAUAUGUCUUCUAAAGCUAAAUACCGGCCAGAGACCGAUAGCGCACAAGUAGAGUGAUCGAAAGAUGAAAAGCACUUUGAAAAGAGGGUUAAACAGUACGUGAAAUUGUUGAAAGGGAAGCGCUUGUGACCAGACUUGGGCCCGGUGAAUCAUCCAGCGUUCUCGCUGGUGCACUUUGCCGGGCCCAGGCCAGCAUCAGUUUGCCUCGGGGGAUAAAGGCUCUGGGAAUGUGGCUCCUCCGGGAGUGUUAUAGCCCGUUGCACAAUGCCCUGGGGCGGACUGAGGUUCGCGCAUCUGCAAGGAUGCUGGCGUAAUGGUCAUCAGCGGCCCGUCUUGAAACACGGACCAAGGAGUCGUCUUCGUAUGCGAGUGUUCGGGUGUAAAACCCCUACGCGGAAUGAAAGUGAACGCAGGUGAGAGCUUCGGCGCAUCAUCGACCGAUCCUGAUGUUCUCGGAUGGAUUUGAGUAAGAGCAUACGGGGCCGGACCCGAAAGAAGGUGAACUAUGCCUGUAUAGGGUGAAGCCAGAGGAAACUCUGGUGGAGGCUCGCAGCGGUUCUGACGUGCAAAUCGAUCGUCAAAUAUGGGCAUGGGGGCGAAAGACUAAUCGAACCUUCUAGUA